GAUGAAGAACGCAGCGAAAUGCGAUACUUGGUGUGAAUUGCAGAAUCCCGUGAACCAUCGAGUCCUUGAACGCAAGUUGCGCCCGAAGCCACUAGGCCGAGGGCACGCCUGCCUGGGCGUCACACGCCGUUGCCCCCCCAUCUACUCCUUCGGGAUUGCGGGGGGGCGGAUGAUGGCCUCCCGUGCGCCUAGCCGCGCGGUUGGCAUAAAUACCAAGUCCUCGGCGACGCACGCCACGACAAUCGGUGGUUGCGAAACCUCGGUUGCCCGUCGUGUGCGUUCGUCGCGCAUCGAGGGCUCGAAAAAAUGCUCGGCUCCGGCUGGGCUUUCAACGCGACCCCAGGUCAGGCGGGGUUACCCGCUGAAUUUAAGCAUAUCAAUAAGCGGAGGA
RNAcentral lists this unclassified non-coding RNA (391 nucleotides) under soil metagenome. Its description in RNAcentral is "partial contains 5.8S ribosomal RNA, internal transcribed spacer 2, and large subunit ribosomal RNA". The stretch from base 1 to 122 matches the Rfam family "5.8S ribosomal RNA", at positions 35 to 154 of the family's 154-position model. The record is from RNAcentral.